AGCAGCCGCGGUAAUUCCAGCUCCAAUAGCGUAUAUUAAAGUUGUUGCAGUUAAAAAGCUCGUAGUUGAAUUUCGGGGUCAGUAGGUCGGUCGUGCCACUGGUAUGCACUGGUCUCACUGAUUCCUCCUUCUUGAAGAACCGUAAUGUCAUUAACUUGGUGUUGCGGGGAAACAGGACUGUUACCUUGAAAAAAUUAGAGUGUUUAAAGCAGGCCAGCGCCUGAAUACAUUAGCAUGGAAUAAUGAAAUAGGACGUUCGAUCCUAUUUUGUUGGUUUCUAGGAUUGACGUAAUGAUUAAUAGGGAUAGUUGGGGGCAUUAGUAUUCAAUUGUCAGAGGUGAAAUUCUUGGAUUUAUUGAAGACUAACUACUGCGAAAGCAUUUGCCAAGGAUGUUUUCAUUAAUCAAGAACGAAAGUUAGGGGAUCGAAGACGAUCAGAUACCGUCGUAGUCUUAACCAUAAACUAUGCCGACUAGGGAUCGGAUGAUGUUAAUUUUAUAAUGACUCAUUCGGCGCCUUA
Molecule: ribosomal RNA, 520 nt
Filed under: uncultured Glomus
Lineage: Eukaryota; Fungi; Glomeromycota; Glomeromycetes; Glomerales; Glomeraceae
Description: SSU rRNA
Rfam family: Eukaryotic small subunit ribosomal RNA
Source: RNAcentral